GGGCGCGUAGCUCAGCGGUAGAGCGCUACGGUGACAUCGUAGGGGUCGCUGGUUCAAACCCAGCCGCGCCCACCA
RNAcentral lists this transfer RNA (75 nucleotides) under Methanobacteriota archaeon. Its description in RNAcentral is "Euryarchaeota archaeon tRNA-Val". It matches the Rfam family "tRNA". Rfam says of the family: Transfer RNA (tRNA) molecules are approximately 80 nucleotides in length. Their secondary structure includes four short double-helical elements and three loops (D, anti-codon, and T loops). The record is from RNAcentral. Lineage: Archaea; Methanobacteriati; Methanobacteriota.